GAUGAACGCUGGCGGCGUGCCUAACACAUGCAAGUCGAACGGAGUCCAGCCUUUAAGACCUUCGGGUCAAAGAGGGGAAGACUGAGUGGCGGACGGGUGAGUAACACGUGGGCAACCUGGCUCAUAGAGGGGGAUAACAGAGAGAAAUUUCUGCUAAUACCGCAUAAGCACACACUGCCGCAUGGCAGAGGGUGAAAAGAGAAUCGCUACGAGAUGGACCCGCGUCUGAUUAGCCAGUUGGCAGGGUAAGAGCCUACCAAAGCGACGAUCAGUAGCCGAUCUGAGAGGAUGAACGGCCACAUUGGGACUGAGACACGGCCCAAACUCCUACGGGAGGCAGCAGUGGGGGAUAUUGCACAAUGGGGGGAACCCUGAUGCAGCGACGCCGCGUGAGUGAAGAAGUAUUUCGGUAUGUAAAGCUCUAUCAGCAGGGAAGAUAAUGACAGUACCUGAAUAAGAAGCCCCGGCUAACUACGUG
This 478-nucleotide ribosomal RNA is filed under the name uncultured bacterium. Its description in RNAcentral is "partial 16S ribosomal RNA". It matches the Rfam family "Bacterial small subunit ribosomal RNA", at positions 28 to 507 of the family's 1533-position model. The record is from RNAcentral.